Molecule: non-coding RNA, 74 nt
Organism: Petromyzon marinus (sea lamprey)
Lineage: Eukaryota; Metazoa; Chordata; Hyperoartia; Petromyzontiformes; Petromyzontidae
Source: the annotation of a RefSeq genome assembly
GGCCGUGUGGCCUAAUGGAUAAAGGCGUCUGACUUCGGAUCAGAAGAUUGCAGGUUCGAAUCCUGUCAAGGUGG